Drosophila ananassae is the source of this 2372-nucleotide long non-coding RNA. RefSeq lists it as uncharacterized. The record is from RefSeq and is a predicted model, not a curated record. The transcript has 2 exons. NCBI's taxonomy places the organism in Eukaryota, Metazoa, Arthropoda, Insecta, Diptera, Drosophilidae.
UAUGAAAUGUUUUUAUCAUUUAUAACUAUUAUUAAAUAAUUAAACAAACCCGUUUUUACAUUGUUCGUCUAUUUAUUGCUUAUGUGGCUCAUCCCGUGUGGCCUGCUCAAGAAAUCGAUUUUUAUACCUUUGCCGAGGGUAUUAUAAUUUUGGUCAAAAGUGUGCAACGCAGUGAUUUUUAGAAGUAUUUUUUAGAAGGAUACUCGCAACAAUUGUCUAUAUUUGCAAAGAAAGGAUAUAGAAUUAUUGCGAUUGCGUUCAAGGCUCUUGACCCAAAAGUUAACUACACAAAAAUUCAGCGGUUUUCCCGUGAAGAUGUGGAAAAUUAUCUUGAAUUUCUUGGUUUCGUUAUACUGGAGAAUCGUUUAAAGCCAGACACAACUGAAGUAAUUAAUACAUUAAAUGCGGCGAAGAUUCGAACUAUAAUGAUUCGAACUAUAAUGAUUCGAACUAUAAUGAUUCGAACUGGUGACAACAGCUAUCACGACAACAGUGUUGCUCGUGAUUGUGGCAUAGUUAACUCAUCUCAAGCAGUGAUUACUAUCCAUGCAGAUCCGGUUAACAGAUCUGAACACAAUUCUGAUGAUAGUAACCGUCAUAAUAUUAAAAUGAGUAGCGACCAGAAUAGAAAAUACCAGUUACAAUACACAUUAGAUACGGGCAGUAAUAUUUGUGCUUCACAUCAAUUAUCUAAUAAUGGUAAUUUUUUUUAACAAGAAAGCACUGCAAGUAACUGCAGCGCCGAGAGUACGAUGAAUCUUCCCCGAAUAACGUCAAGAAAUUCCUUCGAAAAUAAAUCUUAUAAAAAUUAUAAUGAAAGCGUUGUACGUUUAAGUAAUAGUUCGGCAAGUGUAGAGACCAUAGAUACGUGGACUCACAAUGAUACAACAGAUGUUCACGUAGAACUUGAAACGAACAUUAUGCAAGAAAGUAAAUGGCAGCAACAAUAUACAUUUGCAAUGGAUGGAAACACCUGGCAAAUUGUAAAAGAUCAUUUCCCCGAGCAACUUGGAAUUAUAUUAACACGCGGAUCAAGUUAUGCACGUAGGUCCCCUGAGCAGAAACAAGCUUUAGUUAUGGAACUCCAAAACGUUGACUACUGUGUAGCUAUGUGUGGCGACGGGGCUAAUGAUUGCGGCGCUCUAAAGGCUGCGCAUGCUGGUAUUUCGCUUAGCGAAACUGAAUCCUCUAUUGCAUCCCCAUUUACUUCCCAUAAUUCUACGAUUUCAGCGGUUAUAAAUGUUAUUAAAGAAGGCCGAGCUGCAUUGGUAACAUCUUUUGGUAUUUUUAAGUACAUGGCCGCCUAUUCGCUUGUCCAGUUCAUAUCUGUAAUGAUAUUGUAUUCAAUCGACUCUAACUUGGCAGAUAAACAGUAUCUCUAUGUUGACCUUGGGCUAAUUUCGAUAUUUGCCUUUUUUUUUGGAAAAACGGAAUCUUUUUUGAUGGAAAAUUAGUAAAGCAAGUGCCGCUUAGCUCUUUAAUUUCUACGACACCCCUGGCCUCGCUUUUACUUCACCUUGCUGCCGUCAAGAUUUUUCAGGUGACGGGUUGGUUUCACCUACAACAACAACCAUGGUUCACACCUUUUCAACAAACUGAUGAGGAAAAUUUAGGUUGUUAUGAAAAUAUACAAUGUUUUGCAUAUCUAGUUUUCAGUACAUAAUUCUGGCGUUUGUUUUUUCCAAAGGUGCCCCUUACAGAAAACCCUUGUGGUCAAACUUUUCUUAUUAUCACAGUUUAUUUGGCAAUUUAUCCCAGCGAAUGGGUAUCAAAUUUUUUUCAACUCAUAGUACCUCCAGCAAUGAAAUUUCGAUAUAUUAUAGUUAUUUACGGUAUUGCUGCAUUCGCAUGCCAUAUUUUUGUCGAGUCUUAUCUGGUUGAAUAUCUGAUAUUCAAAAAGUAUCAAGCAAAGCGUGAACAAAGUUGGACUACAUCGAAACAAAAAUGUAUUCGUUUGGAGUAUGAUAUUACCCAAAUUGGAAAUUGGCCGCCCAUCACUGAAAAAUAUGAACCGAUCGAAUCGCCUGCAUGGGAAGAAGGUCAGCCUAGAUAUAUUAGUUUAAUGGCGGAACAAAACCACGAUCCGCAGAAAACUUUAUAUCCAGGUUUUUGAAUCGUCGCUUAGAUAAUUUAAAGUAUACAAUUUUGUUAUACUCUAUAUAUAAAUUGCUGCGAAUGAAAUAUGUGUAUAUUAUAUAAAUUUUAUUGUAUAAAAAUGCGCACUAAAAACUUUCAAUGCACAUAAAUUAUUCUUGCUAGCAGUAAAGUACAAUUAGUUGUACUUCGGUCAUGGUGAUAUGAUGUACAAAAUUUCUGUUUUUUGGUUAUAAAUAAAAUAAUAUAAAUGGAAUGAUUAAAUAGAUUAAAGGUAA